GAUUGCAGUGAUGACCUCAGAAAAAUUCAAGCUCAACAGACCGGAAUGCAGGAUUCUUAACUGAGUUUUGCGUGUCGAUAACCCGCUCACUGAGCAGUC
Molecule: non-coding RNA, 99 nt
Organism: Helianthus annuus (common sunflower)
Lineage: Eukaryota; Viridiplantae; Streptophyta; Magnoliopsida; Asterales; Asteraceae
Source: Rfam